AACCUAGUUACUUACGGGCUCGACA
Molecule: non-coding RNA, 25 nt
Filed under: Drosophila melanogaster (fruit fly)
Lineage: Eukaryota; Metazoa; Arthropoda; Insecta; Diptera; Drosophilidae
Source: RNAcentral